AACGAACGCUGGCGGCAGGCUUAACACAUGCAAGUCGAACGGGUGCAGCAAUGCACCAGUGGCAGACGGGUGAGUAACACGUGGGAACCUUCCUAAGGGUACGGAACAACUCAGGGAAACUUGAGCUAAUACCGUAUACGUCCGUGAGGAGAAAGAUUUAUCGCCCUUAGACGGGCCCGCGUCGGAUUAGCUAGUUGGUGGGGUAACGGCCUACCAAGGCGACGAUCCGUAGCUGAUCUUAGAGGAUGAUCAGCCACACUGGGACUGAGACACGGCCCAGACUCCUACGGGAGGCAGCAGUGGGGAAUCUUGGACAAUGGGCGCAAGCCUGAUCCAGCCAUGCCGCGUGAGUGAAGAAGGUCUUCGGAUUGUAAAGCUCUUUUGCCAGGGACGAUAAUGACGGUACCUGGAGAAUAAGCCCCGGCAAACUUCGUGCCAGCAGCCGCAGUAA
This 451-nucleotide ribosomal RNA is filed under the name uncultured bacterium. Its description in RNAcentral is "partial 16S ribosomal RNA". It matches the Rfam family "Bacterial small subunit ribosomal RNA", at positions 29 to 523 of the family's 1533-position model. The record is from RNAcentral.